Molecule: long non-coding RNA, 4117 nt
Organism: Anolis carolinensis (green anole)
Lineage: Eukaryota; Metazoa; Chordata; Lepidosauria; Squamata; Anolidae
Source: Ensembl
AUGCCCAGAGGGCGGAGUUCCUGGCGUUUCCUACCGCCUCACCGGAGAACCUGCCCUGGGUUUCGCGGCAUCCAACAGAGAAAGAGAGAGAGAGAGCAAGAAAGAGCCGUCGGAAAAGCCACGCGAGCGACCCAGAUCCCCGGAAUAAAUGGACAGAAGGACGAGGCCCUUUCGAGAUUACCAUUCGAGGAGAAGAAGGAGAGGGCAAACGAGGAAGCAAGGAAAUCUUUGCGUCGCCGAAAAUCUUUUCCUUGUCUUUUGAAAGGGGUGGAGGAGAGAAAGAAGUACCUGCUGCCGACAGAAAGGAGAACCACUGCAAUCCGAUCUGCUUGGCCGACCUUCAAGCCCUUUCCGAGCUGGUAUCUUGGAGGAAAGGGCAAUUGAGGAUAAGCCAAGACUGGUAAUGAAGAGGAGGAAUUAUCCAGGAGAAGGAUCUGGAAAGAAAGAAACAUCCCUGAGGAAAAAGAACAGGAAAAAUGCCCUGCAGAGGAAGAUUACUUCCAGUGCAACAAAUACAAGGGACAUGGCUGGACUUUUUCUUUGAGGCCUAGGAUUGAAGAUGCUGAAAAUAAAAAGAACCAAAUGUAUUAUUCAUUUUUCCUGUGGCUUUGCCCCUCUUUUUUUGUAUUAACUUUGUUAAGCAUUCAAAAUGAAAUCUGUAAUAGGGUCAGUGGACUGAUUCCUAAUUUUGGGAAGCAUCCUUUGUUGGGGUGGCCAAAUAGACAGAAAGAAGCAAGGAAGUGAAUGAAAGACUUUCUGCUAGGUAUUUAUUAUCUUUCUUUCUCACUCCCAGAUUGUCCAAAAUACAUUUUGUUGCUGCUGCUGCAUGUCUCCAGUUUCUGUUUAUGGUGAUCCCAAAUCUUGGCAAGAUUUUCUCAGAAUAUGUUUAUCAUUGCCUUCCUCUCAGUGUGACUUGUCCAAGGUCAGCCAGUAGGUUUCUGUGGCCAAACAGGAUUUGAACCCUGGUUUCCUGGAGUCCAACACUCAAACUACUGCACCACAUUAGGAUGUAUAUUUUGGUAUCUCAACAGUCCAGAGAGUGGCUAUAAUUUCUGUGUUGAAUUUCAGCAUAUUAGCUACAUAUUCUAUAACCAACAAUAUUUAUUAAUACAAUUCAGAUCUGGCAAAUUAUAACCAUGCUAUUUUUCAUAAACAUAUUAACUGUUCCAUUCAGGUCAGUGCUUUUUAUUUAUUUUUAAAUUUUCCCACCCUACUGUAAAUAAAUAUCACUUACAAUCUUUGUAAUAACAAUAAAGUUUGGUUUGCUGGAAAUUUAGGGUGGAGGUUCAAAGAUGUGGCUUCUUGUUCUUUCUUGACUCACUAUUGGUUUGGAUUGGCAUUCUUGGCAGUGCUCUGAAUUCACAUAGUGCUUUGGAUUGGACAGGCGUCAAUGCCAUCUGAUAGAGGAGCUUUUCUGAUUUUGGAUGGCCACAAAUCAUAAUUCAUGGUGUAAGUGUCUGCCUUUGUGCAUGCUUAAGUUGCAUUUUGAAUAUUCUCACAAAUAUGAGAAUGGGAGUAAUGAGCUGAUCUGAUAAUGGGAGUGUCCAUCAUAACCUUUCUUUUAGAGAUGCUGGCAGGGAUUUAAAACCAGUUUUCUCUGUUAAGUUUUGACAACCUUUCUGUUAUAUCACACAGUCAAUUUUUCAGAGUGUUCAGGAGUGUAUCUAUGUUUCAAAGAUAACUGAGGAGUAAGAAUUUGGCAAAGAACAUGAGGACAGAAUGAGGAGAAAGUCCUUAGGGCUGGGUCCAUACAUUUUGAAAGAAAUGGCACAAUAUAUAUGACCUAAAAUAUGACCAACCCAUCAUGAAUCUCAAUAAUAUUUUCCCUGGAGACACUAGUUCAAGUUCCUUCAAGUUGGAAACUCACCAACAGCUGCAAGUUCAGCCCAACUGUUCUGCCCUCCUCUGCCUUCUUCACUGAUCCCACUUGUCUCAUUUACUCACUUCCAGUGACCUUUGAGAUGUUCUGGGAAAACUCAUUACAGAACUUUAUCCUCCUUAAGAUGCAUUUAAACUGUAGAAUUAAUGCAGUUAGCUCAAUGCUAUGUAAUGUUGGGAUUUGUGUUGAUGAGGCACUACCACUCUGGCAGGAAAGGUUAAAGACUUCAUAAAACCACAAUUCCCAUGAUUCCCUAGCACUGAGCCAGGACAAUUAAAGUGGAGUCAAAUUGCAUUAAUAGAUGCACCCUAGUCAAUUCUUCAUUGACCAUCUAAUUCAGAUGGAACUGCAUUAUAUGGUCAGUGUAUACCCAUAUAAUACACUCCAACACGUUCAAACUGUAAAGCUCAGGAGUUGACCUUUAUCCAACUGUUCAUAGCAAUGGUUCAAGAGCAUCCAUGGGGAGAAUAAAAAAAACAACAGAAAAUUCAGGCUACUCAGAAGUAAAUCGUUCAUGUAUUUAUUUCCACCACUGGUGGCUUAUGGGAGUGAUAACCAUUUAGGGAAAGGGAUUUCCAGUCCAGUCCAGUCCAGUCCAGUCCAGUCCAGUCCAGUCCAGUCACUCAUUUCCCACAGAAUCUAAGUAGUUGCCUCCAAAAAGUUCACAAAAGAAAAAUCAGAUGUAGCCAACAUUUUCUCACUCCCCUUCAGACUAUAAUUCACAUACAUACCUUCUCUCAAAGAGUGAAGAAAGGAUACUUCUUUGCACUACAGAUCUCAGACAUCCCAAUAAUUACUAACCAUGCUGUCUGGUGGAUUCUUGAACUAUAAUUCAAACAAGUAACAAAUCCCAAAUAUAGUGUGCAAGAGAAACACUACACAAAUAAAGCACUAUAUUUCCACCUUAACUCUCAUGGUUCUAUUCUAUUAUAUGGAAAUCUGGGAUUUGGAGUUUGGGAAUCCUUAGAUAAACAUUAUUUUUGGUAUUGUAGGAACAAGCAGGAGAAAUAGCUCUGAUCGCUGAAUUUCUUACAAACCUUUGCUCACUUUUCCUGCCUUGGUUGUCACCAAUUGCUUUGUUUUUAUCUGUGUCUUGAAGGGUGCAACAACAUCAUAGAAUGCAGUUUGACACCACUUUAACUGCCAUGGAGCCAUACUAUGAAAUCCAGGGAGCUGUAGUUUUGGUGAGGCACCAGCACUCUUUGGCAGAGAAGUGAGCUAUUAAUUCCAUGGCACUGAGCCAUGGCAGUGAAAGUGGUGACAAAUAGCAUUAAUCCUACAGUGUAGAUCAGUGGUUCUCUAAUCCAGAUAUAUUGUGUACAGUAUAUGGCUCUUUCCCUCUAUGCAUAUCACAAACACAAACACCUGAAUGGAAAGAGCCAAGUAGCUAACAACAACAACAUAAAAAAUGGAAUUGCUUGGCUUUUUCCAUCCAGGUACCUGAUAUAUAGAUAUGUAUAGCUAGUUCUUUUCAUUCAUAUAUAUACCAGUGGUUCCCAACCUGUCUGUCCCCAGAUGUAUGAAACUGGAUUUUAUGGCAUUGUAGAUGGGAUCUGAGUCUCCUUUUGAGGGAGAAAAAAGAGGAUAUAAAGGAUAUUGUUAAUUACUUAUUUCCAUAUUAAUAUCAAGUCAACACUGAGUUUAUGGCAUGAUAUAGUAUGAGGUAUACAUUUCCUUUUAAUUGUGGUACUUCAACAUUCAUAUCAAGUUAUAUCAAGUCAAAAAAGAGUUUGUGGGAAGGUAUGGUAUGGUAUGGAUUAUAGUAGUAGGCCCCAUCUAUACUGCCAUUAUAAUGCAGACUGAACUGCAAUACGCGGUAUGGUGGUCAGUGCAGACUCAUACAACACCAUGUAACAAAAUUUGAAAAAAAUUGUUUCUGUUUUGAAAGUGUUAUUUAUUUACUGUUUUGUUUAUUUACGGUAUUUAUAUACCACUUUUCUCACCCCUGGGGGGAGUUAAAGAGGUAUACAACAUAAUAGCGGCAAAAUUCAAUGCUAAACAUACAUGUAAAAACUAAAUCAUAAUAUCUAAACAAUAACAUAUAACUAUGAGUUAAAAUCAUUAAGACCAUUAAAACAAGACAUAAACAGACAUAAGCAACAUUUAAACAUUAAGACUUAGAAUUAAAACAUCCUAAUAUAAACAUUAAAAUCACAUGAUCCAACUUUACAUUACUGGCCAAAGGCUUGGUCCCACAGCCAUGUCUUUGUUUUCUCUCUGAAGGCCAAGAGGGACAGC